AUCACUUCUAGGCCUUUUGGCUAAGAUCAUGUGUAGUAUCUGUUCUUAUCAGUUUAAUAUCUGAUACAUCCUCUAUCGAGGAGAAUAUAUUAAAUGGAUUUUUGGAAUUGGGAGUCGGAACUGGAGCAUGUGCCAUCCACUCUGCGCAUCGACCUGGUAUUGCAGUACCUCCAGGAAUAGUGUACCAAAG
Small nuclear RNA from Suncus etruscus (white-toothed pygmy shrew), 190 nucleotides. RefSeq annotates it as U2 spliceosomal RNA. The record is from RefSeq and is a predicted model, not a curated record. Lineage: Eukaryota; Metazoa; Chordata; Mammalia; Eulipotyphla; Soricidae. The transcript has a single exon.